RNAcentral lists this ribosomal RNA (253 nucleotides) under uncultured bacterium. Its description in RNAcentral is "partial 16S ribosomal RNA". It matches the Rfam family "Bacterial small subunit ribosomal RNA", at positions 524 to 776 of the family's 1533-position model. The record is from RNAcentral.
UACGUAGGUGACAAGCGUUGUCCGGAUUUACUGGGCGUAAAGAGCGCGCAGGCGGUCGAUCAAGUCGAGUGUGAAAGCCCCCGGCUCAACUGGGGAGGGUCAUUCGAUACUGAUCGACUCGAAGGCAGGAGAGGGUAGUGGAAUUCCCGGUGUAGUGGUGAAAUGCGUAGAUAUCGGGAGGAAUACCUGUGGCGAAGGCGGCCUACUGGGCCGGACCUGACGCUGAGACGCGAAGGCGUGGGGAGCGAACGGG